Molecule: unclassified non-coding RNA, 311 nt
Filed under: uncultured bacterium
Lineage: Bacteria
Description: partial contains 16S ribosomal RNA, 16S-23S ribosomal RNA intergenic spacer, and 23S ribosomal RNA
Rfam family: Bacterial large subunit ribosomal RNA (bases 180-311)
Source: RNAcentral
GAGCGGGGGUGAGCUCAGUUGGUAGAGCGUCCGCCUUGCACGCGGAAGGUCAGCGGUUCGAAUCCGCUCAUCUCCACCAGUGGUUUUCUCAUGUUUUAGUGGGUAGUAAAUAAAAAUUACUUGUGAUCCUUGAAAUUUUUGUAGGUAGUUCUUGUCGUAUAGGGUAAUUGAUUAAGUUUUGAUUAAUUGAAAAGGGCAUCCGGUGGACGCCUAGGUAUCAAGAGAUGAUGAAGGAGGUGGAAGACCGCCAAAGGCUUCGGGGAGCUGUCAAUCGAGCUGUGAUCCGAAGGUAUCCGAAUGGGGAAACCCGG